UGGGGAAUAUUGCACAAUGGGGGAAACCCUGAUGCAGCGACGCCGCGUGAGCGAAGAAGGUUUUCGAAUCGUAAAGCUCUGUCCUAUGAGAAGAUAAUGACGGUAUCAUAGGAGGAAGCCCCGGCUAAAUACGUGCCAGCAGCCGCGGUAAUACGUAUGGGGCGAGCGUUGUCCGGAAUUAUUGGGCGUAAAGGGUACGUAGGCGGUCUAUUAAGUCAGGUGUGAAAGCGUGAGGCUUAACCUCAUUAAGCACUUGAAACUGAUAGACUUGAGUGAAGGAGAGGAAAGUGGAAUUCCAAGUGUAGCGGUGAAAUGCGUAGAUAUUAGGAGGAAUACCGGUGGCGAAGGCGACUUUCUGGACUUUUACUGACGCUCAGGUACGAAAGCGUGGGGAGCAAACAGG
RNAcentral lists this ribosomal RNA (403 nucleotides) under Verrucomicrobiota bacterium. RNAcentral's name for it is "Verrucomicrobia bacterium partial 16S ribosomal RNA". It matches the Rfam family "Bacterial small subunit ribosomal RNA", at positions 355 to 776 of the family's 1533-position model. The record is from RNAcentral. Lineage: Bacteria; Pseudomonadati; Verrucomicrobiota.